RNAcentral lists this long non-coding RNA (3242 nucleotides) under Orbicella faveolata. RNAcentral's name for it is "uncharacterized LOC110056711, transcript variant X1". The record is from RNAcentral. Lineage: Eukaryota; Metazoa; Cnidaria; Anthozoa; Scleractinia; Merulinidae.
GACGCGUGAUUACAUUUCGAUGAAUUUUCUUACGUAUUUUGCUACUGUCGCUUCCCUAAACAAUGAAAACAAGGAAAAAUACGUAAACAUAUUCUUGUAGAUGUCAAAUGCAUGGAUUGACACUUUCUGUUAAGCAGAACUGAUGUAAAUAGAUGCAAUUGCUGUGACAAAAACUGGUUAAAGUGAAGCAUUUUUAAAACUGAAAAAAGUUCGUGUUGAUGGGCUAAAAUACAUCUAGUUUAGAGAAAAUUUUUCGGGAAGGCAAAUUGAUGAAUUGUAGAUCAUUAUUAUUUAAUAAGCAAUAAUAUUGCGGCUACGAAAUAGGAACAACAUGCACCGUCUAUGGGAAGCCACGAAAUCGAAGUUGCCAUUAAUUCUCUGGAGAGACUCAUUUAAAUGAAAGCCGGAAAAAGUCAAAUCGGGCCUCGUUGUAAAAGGAAGACUUGACUGCCUCAAAUUUUAGUAUCCUCCCAAAUUUAUUCACAAUUUUCACUACAACAGGUGCCUUUUAAUCAUUUAUUAUGAGCAAAUGAUUCUAAACUUUUCACUUUGGGUACACAAUUACACAGCCCGUAGCGAAACAGAGAUCAAAGAUGACAAAAACGCGCCAAAACUCGACCAAAGACAAAACUCUGUCGUUGCGGUUUCGUAAACUGAGCAGAGAUUUCAAAGCAUACGACCCGGUGUUCCUUUGCUUUCAGCUCUUUUUAAAAGGAGCGGUUAGAAACUGGAGUCGAAUUUCAUUCGCAAUUUAUACAGGUGUGUUUGUGCUCCCAUAAAAACUAGACAGCACGCGUUAAUUUUUUAUACUCGCAGAGGCUCACAAAAAGCCAUUACUCACAAAUUUUUAAUAAUGUUUUGCCUGCUUGCCCUCGUAACCACCCGCUCAAACAGAAGGCGAAAGUUUCGCCGCUAAAAGGUGUUCGUGUACCUCAAUCCCAGAAAUAUGGACAAAUUUAAGAAACAGAAGGUUCAUUCUGUGGUGGUCAUCUGGAUUCACGUUUUAACAUAACGCAUCACGAUAGAAAUGCGUAAAGUUCGAGUCAGGACUACUGCCCGAAGUCGAAAUGGGUUGAUGUUUUUACGACCGGUCUUGAUUGCGUAAAGCAGGAUUUUAACGGAAGAACUUGCACUAUCAAAACUGGUAUUUCCAGGUCAUGGAAGGUCGUCCCAGGUUAGGAGAUAGUUUGGUUUCCCUGUCUCAGAAGAUGUAAGUAUGAGCGAUCUCUUGAAGUUAUUCAUCCGAGUUACCGUUCAGUAAAGGUUUGUAAUGAAAUAAAGACCAUGGUCUAAAUCCUAUCCAUGUGUGAGCUCAGUGUGUACAAUCAUUUAAAAUACGGUCAAUAGUCCUACAUUUUUCUGCAACCUGCUGAAUUUUCCUGUGCAAGCGACUUUUACAUAAUUGUCCUUGCAAAUGUCUUAGUUGCAAGUAAAAAAAAACAAAAAAACAGUUGGUUACAGUUUCUAAAGCCGUUGCUUCAAGUGGAAUUAAAACACGUUACGGUCAUAUUUUGUUAUGAAUUAGCUUCUUCUUACUCUGAAACCAAAAAUAUUCAGCUACACACUAGCCACGAACAAUAUAUUAUCACAAGUAACUGUCAACUUUUAUUUUCAAAGUAAAUUUCUCGACAAUUAACUUUACUGCCGUCUAAAAUGACAAGCUGACAACAAUCUACCCCCAGCGGUUCAGUGCAAAUGGCAAUUCUUUUAUUUAAAUUACCCCCAUCACUGCCUAAACGCUCACUUCAAUUUUGAGAUUUUGAGAAGAACAUAAUUUUGAAACCAUUGAAACGAUUUCUGGAUUGUUUACUGUAUAGUUAAAUAUUUUUGGUUUCAGAGUAAGAAGGAGCGAACUCAUAAUAAAAUAUAUCAAAUAUUCCACUUUAACCAACUGUUUUUAAACUUACCUUCUAAACCAGGAGAUUUGCAAGGAUAAUUAUGUGAAAGUAGCCUAUUCUUCGCCGGGGAAGCGAAAUUUCUCGACAAUGAACCUGAAAUCGUCUUAAAUAAGGAGUUAAUCGUCUCUGGAACAGCAAUCCACCACCAGCAGUUCAGUACAAAUGGCUGUUCUUUUUUAAAAUUACCCCCAUGACUGCCUAAAUGCUCGCGUCGAUUUUCAGAUGUUGAGAAGAAUAUCAUUUUGUUACCACUGUAACGGUUUCUUGAUUUUACUUAUUUAGUUGAAUAUUUUUGGUUUCAGAGUAAAAAGUAGCGUACUCAUAAUAAAAUAUGACCGAAACCUGUUUUAAUUCCACUUUAACCUACUAAGAGACUAUGAAUUAGUCUCUUGAACCAACUAAGUGUUUUAAAACUUUUCUUGUCAGCCAAGACAUUUACAAGGAUAAUUAUCCAAAACUGGUUUGUAACACAGGAAUUGAAAUACAGUUCCAAAUUGCGGGGAAUUCGAAAUAACCGAGUUUGAAUUAGCGAGGUCCAACUGUAUUACAUACAUACAGCCUAUUCUCCCAAAGAGCGAAACUUAUGAAACAACAUGUGGCUGUCUUCAGAUCAACAUCAAGAUUCAGUUUAUGCUUUUUAGAUAGAGUGGCCAGUCAAGAUUAUGUUUGCUUUGACAAUUUUUAAGCAUUUUCUGUCUAGAAAUAAGAAGGUAUUUCAACGAUGAAAUAAAAUUUGCUCUAUACCGUUUUCAUAUUAAGUAGUUCGUGUUUUCUUGAAAAAAGGGGUAAAACUAUUGGCUACGAAUAAAUGUCGUCAUUUAGUAAAAAGGUUUAUGGUUUUAGCUUGAUUUACUAACAAAUGAAUUUUUAAUUGCUCUUUCUCAUGCAGAGAAAUGCAAAAUCUGAUUGUAAUUUGGCCCUUUCUCCACAAGUUCAGCCACAUCAAAAUCGCUGCCAUAUACAUUUGACAAUAAAAGCGACGAGCUUGUCAUUUCAGGAGGUGGUAGUGAAAGCUGUCGCUGUCCCACAAACCAUGAGAAGCAGAUGGCCGAUUCCUGGAAAAUCAACCUCACUUUUGGACACCUGUCCAUUUCACCGCCGAACGGCCGUGAUAAAAAGCAACUUCAAAUUGCGAGGUCGAUUAUGCUUAAAUUAAAUGGGAUUCGUUUUACAUGUAGUUUCUACAAGUGAAAUAAACUAUUGCUUAGAUAGAUUUUCUUCAGUUAAGGUGGACUAUAACAAGAGCGAGAGAGGAUAAUCUCUUGACAGAAGGAAUAUUUGAAAUGUUAAGUAAAUAAAUUUUACAACCACGAAACAGGAGUUAUUAAAAAUCAUCACCGACAA